GUGGGGAAUCUUGCGCAAUGGGCGAAAGCCUGACGCAGCCAUGCCGCGUGAAUGAUGAAGGUCUUAGGAUUGUAAAAUUCUUUCACCGGGGACGAUAAUGACGGUACCCGGAGAAGAAGCCCCGCCUAACUUCGUGCCAGCAGCCGCGGUAAUACGAAGGGGGCUAGCGUGGCGCGGAUUUACUGGGCGCAAAGGGCGCGUAGGCGGACAUUUAAGUCAGGGGUGAAAUCGCGGGGCUCAACCUCGGAACUGCCUUUGAGACUGCGUGGCUUGAGGAUGAGAGAGGGGUGUGGAACUCCGAGUGUAGAGGUGAAAUGCGUAGAGAUUCGGAAGAACACCAGUGGCGAAGGCGACACACUGGCUCAUUACUGACGCUGAGGCGCGAAAGCGUGGGGAGCAAACAGGAUUAGAUACCCCUGUAGUCC
RNAcentral lists this ribosomal RNA (425 nucleotides) under uncultured bacterium. RNAcentral's name for it is "partial 16S ribosomal RNA". It matches the Rfam family "Bacterial small subunit ribosomal RNA", at positions 354 to 796 of the family's 1533-position model. The record is from RNAcentral.